ACGGGAGGCAGCAGUGAGGAGUAUUGGUCAAUGGACGGAAGUCUGAACCAGCCAAGUAGCGUGCAGGAUGACGGCCCUAUGGGUUGUAAACUGCUUUUAUAGGGGGAUAAAGUGAGCCACGAGUGGCUUUUUGUAGGUACCCUAUGAAUAAGCAUCGGCUAACUCCGUGCCAGCAGCCGCGGUAAUACGGAGGAUGCGAGCGUUAUCCGGAUUUAUUGGGUUUAAAGGGUGCGCAGGCGGCACGUUAAGUCAGCGGUGAAAUGUCGGGGCUCAACCCGGGCACUGCCGUUGAAACUGGCGAGCUUGAGUACGGAUGAAGUCGGCGGAAUGUGAUGUGUAGCGGUGAAAUGCUUAGAUAUGUCACAGAACACCGAUUGCGAAGGCAGCUGACUAAUCCGCAACUGACGCUCAGGCACGAAAGCGUGGGGAUCGAACAGGAUUAGAUACCCUGGUA
RNAcentral lists this ribosomal RNA (454 nucleotides) under uncultured Solitalea sp. RNAcentral's name for it is "partial 16S ribosomal RNA". It matches the Rfam family "Bacterial small subunit ribosomal RNA", at positions 341 to 792 of the family's 1533-position model. The record is from RNAcentral. Lineage: Bacteria; Pseudomonadati; Bacteroidota; Sphingobacteriia; Sphingobacteriales; Sphingobacteriaceae.